Molecule: long non-coding RNA, 125 nt
Organism: Egretta garzetta (little egret)
Lineage: Eukaryota; Metazoa; Chordata; Aves; Pelecaniformes; Ardeidae
Exons: 3
Source: RefSeq, a predicted model, not a curated record
UCACUUCCCCUCUGGCUGGCUGGGGGAGAAAAUUGGAAGAGUGAAAGUGAGGAAACUGAUGGGUUGAGAUAAAGACAGUUUAAUAGGGAAAGCAAAAGCCAUGCAUGCAAGCAAAGCUAAGCAAG